RNAcentral lists this unclassified non-coding RNA (229 nucleotides) under fungal sp. RNAcentral describes it as "partial internal transcribed spacer region". The stretch from base 1 to 46 matches the Rfam family "Eukaryotic small subunit ribosomal RNA", at positions 1786 to 1831 of the family's 1831-position model. Lineage: Eukaryota; Fungi. The record is from RNAcentral.
AAGUCGUAACAAGGUUUCCGUAGGUGAACCUGCGGAAGGAUCAUUACCAAGUUUAAUCCAAAACUCUCAACCCAUGUGCACGAUGAUUCUUGUCUGUCUUUGGGGUGAAAUGCUUUUUGUGUUUUACCCCACAUGUUGUAAACAUCCUUUUAUUUUGUAUUGGCAUCAAUCUUGUUUUAAUAAUCAUUAGACAACUUUUAACGGUGGAUCUCUUGGCUCGUGGAUCGAU